Molecule: non-coding RNA, 556 nt
Filed under: unclassified sequences
Description: ROOL RNA
Rfam family: ROOL RNA
About the family: Firmicutes, Fusobacteria (1 example), Tenericutes (1 example). Environment (Cow rumen (57))
Source: Rfam by way of RNAcentral
AUCCUACUCCCCGAAUACACCAAAGGGCAUAAUUCCACUUAGCAAGUGGUGCCUGGGUUAUCUUGUUAAGACCUGCAAUUGUGGUAUAGGGAUACCUUUACUAUUGUUGUUCCAGAGUGGAGACCGGUGAAAUGGUUCAGGCUGAGAUAACUUGCGAGACGGUGCGAAAAACAAGGUGCUCUGCGAAUCGUCGCAACAAGUGUCAGUGAACGGGAUUCGUCCUAUAGCUGGCCGCAACAGUGAAUCUGAGGUGACACUUAGGGAACCAAAGUUGUGUGUCGAACAAUGCGAUUGUAGUUGAUGUUGCGGUAACGUAACUAUAAGAUUUUCGGAGGCACUCAGGCAAAAUCUACGUUGGAUAUAACGUUUACGUAUGGGUAAAAAAAUCUAUUAUGUGGUGCUUGUUUGAGUUGGGGUUGUUGAUACUUCCCACGCUUUAAAAAGGCUAGGUCAACCGGAGUUGCAAACCGGGGCCAUUCCUAGUCAGCGUGUAACCUUAACAGUUUGCAGCGCUAAGUCGAGUAGGAAAAACAUCCUGGUGUUUCACGGGUGGUAG